RNAcentral lists this ribosomal RNA (253 nucleotides) under uncultured bacterium. RNAcentral describes it as "partial 16S ribosomal RNA". It matches the Rfam family "Bacterial small subunit ribosomal RNA", at positions 524 to 776 of the family's 1533-position model. The record is from RNAcentral.
UACGGAGGGUGCGAGCGUUGUCCGGAAUCAUUGGGCGUAAAGGGCGCGUAGGUGGCGGGACAAGCGUGCGGUGAAAGCUCGGGGCUCAACCCCGAGUCGGCCGUGCGAACUGUUUUGCUUGAGCACUGUAGAGGCAGGCGGAAUUCCGGGUGUAGCGGUGGAAUGCGUAGAGAUCCGGAAGAACACCGGUGGCGAAGGCGGCCUGCUGGGCAGUAGCUGACACUGAGGCGCGCCAGCGUGGGGAGCAAACAGG